GACGUAGGGCGCGAGCGUUGUCCGGAUUUAUUGGGCGUAAAGAGCUCGUAGGCGGUGUGUCACGUCGGCCGUGAAAACCUGCAGCUUAACUGUGGGCGUGCGGUCGAUACGGGCAUCACUGGAGUUCGGCAGGGGAGACUGGAAUUCCUGGUGUAGCGGUGAAAUGCGCAGAUAUCAGGAGGAACACCGGUGGCGAAGGCGGGUCUCUGGGCCGAUACUGACGCUGAGGAGCGAAAGCGUGGGGAGCAAACAGG
This 254-nucleotide ribosomal RNA is filed under the name uncultured bacterium. Its description in RNAcentral is "partial 16S ribosomal RNA". It matches the Rfam family "Bacterial small subunit ribosomal RNA", at positions 524 to 776 of the family's 1533-position model. The record is from RNAcentral.